Long non-coding RNA from Oryctolagus cuniculus (rabbit), 1148 nucleotides. The record is from Ensembl. Lineage: Eukaryota; Metazoa; Chordata; Mammalia; Lagomorpha; Leporidae.
GAUAUGUGCAUGUGUAGGCUUGUAUGCAAGUAAAAUAUUUGAAUGCAUAUUCCUUGAUAAGUAUGGGUAUACAUUAUGUUGUAAUUCAACUGAGAUGUAAUGAGUACAUGCUAUGAGCCAAACAUUUAACUAGUAGUUGUGAUGUAGCAGCAACUCGGUGUAAUCUUAGAUCACAUCAGUCUGUCAUCUGGUGGGAGACAGAAUAAACAGAGAAUUACUUGUAUGAAUGUGUUUCUUUUAGGAAGUUGCAUAUUGGUGCAAAUAUAAACCUAACUGGAUAUAUGGAACACAUAACCCGCAUUGAUUUAUCCAUUCACUCAACAAGGCUAUCUUUAGAAGUAUAUCAAUUCCUGGUUCAGGGGCAAACAUCCUCUUAUUGUGGAUUCUAUAUUUGAAUAAAUUCAGAAAGAUGUGCAAUAUUUUCCAAGACUGAACUUCCACACAUGUUCAUCUGUAACCCAGUCCCCCGCAGUUAGUAGAUAAGUGACUUUGAGCACAUUAUUUAACCUCUACUUAAUCUCAUCUGUGAAAUAGAGGAUAAUGAUGCCUACCUCUUAGGGUUUCUAUUAGGAUUAAGAAAUACAUUGUAUGUUAAAAGCUUAGCUCAAGCACAUUGGAAGACCUCAAUCCCUGCCAGCUAUUAUUACUCAGCAUGGGGGUGGAGGAGUGGCAGGCCAGCAGCAAUUACACUCUGACGUUUUUUCUACUGGAGAUAUGUUAGAGACAACCUCCAGGUUCUUCAAGUCAUUAUCUCUCUCAGGGAGGAGCACAGAGACAAAACAUGAAUGGGGUCAGAAAAGGUACUAUCUGCCUCAUUGUUCUAAGUGUCACUCUCCAUUAGCAUAAAGUUAGCACUCCAGGUGGGCGAGAAACACUUCUCUGUUUCCAGAAAACUAGAAAUGUUCUUUUUCUUGAGCAUGCCUGGUUUCAGAAUGGAAACUGUGACAAAAUACCAAGCAGAGCCCUGGAUGACAGGUGAAUGGGUCCAGAACAACUCUCAAGAGAAGAGUGCUUGGCAUUUCAACACCUGCACAAUACAGCCGUAAAUAACCUAAAGUCCUUGAUCACACAGAACUUGAAAAUUGGUUGGGAGGCAGAAAAAUCAACUAAGGAAUAAAUGAAAAAGAAAAAGGAAAGGUAGUAGUAAG